AGUCGUAACAAGGUUUCCGUAGGUGAACCUGCGGAAGGAUCAUUACCUUUCAGUACAGAAGCGUUGUGUUGGUUGAGUUGUGCCGGUUGAGUCUCGCUGACAAGUGGGAUUCCUGGUGGCAACUCCCUUCAUAAUUCUCCCUGUCUAUCAUCCUUGUCUUUUGCGUACUAUUGUUUCCUCGGUGGGCUUGCCCACCGGUUGGACAACCUUAUAACCUAUUUAAUUUUCAAUCAGCGUCUGAAAUAAUAUAAUAAUUACAACUUUCAACAACGGAUCUCUUGGUUCUGGCAUCGAUGAAGAACGCAGCGAAAUGCGAUAAGUAGUGUGAAUUGCAGAAUUCAGUGAAUCAUCGAAUCUUUGAACGCACAUUGCGCCCCUUGGUAUUCCAUGGGGCAUGCCUGUUCGAGCGUCAUUUGUACCCUCAAGCUUUGCUUGGUGUUGGGUGUUUGUCUUUUCCACGCGAUCAGACUCGCCUUAAAAUAAUUGGCAGCCAGUGUUUUGGUUUUGAAGCGCAGCACAAGUCGCGAUUCAGCUUAUAUCACUAGUUUCCAUUAAGCAUUUUAUCACUUUUGACCUCGGAUCAGGUAGGGAUACCCGCUGAACUUAAGCAUAUCAAUAAGCGGAGGAA
RNAcentral lists this unclassified non-coding RNA (628 nucleotides) under Paraphoma fimeti. RNAcentral describes it as "sequence contains 18S rRNA gene, ITS1, 5.8S rRNA gene, ITS2, 28S rRNA gene". The stretch from base 259 to 412 matches the Rfam family "5.8S ribosomal RNA". Lineage: Eukaryota; Fungi; Ascomycota; Dothideomycetes; Pleosporales; Phaeosphaeriaceae. The record is from RNAcentral.